UUAAUGAUGCAAUAUAUAUGUUUUGAACCAGGUCAGGACCGGAAGGUAGCAGCCUUAAGGAAUUGUAUAUAUGUGCAUCAUUUUUUU
This 87-nucleotide signal recognition particle RNA is filed under the name Bacillota bacterium. RNAcentral's name for it is "signal recognition particle sRNA small type". It matches the Rfam family "Bacterial small signal recognition particle RNA". Rfam says of the family: The signal recognition particle (SRP) is a universally conserved ribonucleoprotein involved in the co-translational targeting of proteins to membranes. Archaeal SRP consists of a 7S RNA and homologues of the eukaryotic SRP19 and SRP54 proteins. The record is from RNAcentral. Lineage: Bacteria; Bacillati; Bacillota.